Molecule: long non-coding RNA, 3299 nt
Filed under: Jatropha curcas
Lineage: Eukaryota; Viridiplantae; Streptophyta; Magnoliopsida; Malpighiales; Euphorbiaceae
Description: long non-coding RNA (JCUR_LNC002689)
Source: RNAcentral
UGCAAGUGCAAGAAAUACGCCUAAAGAAACUGCAGGUCUCGAUGAUCAAAAGAAUGUGGUUGUAUUUGGCGGUUUAGGUGGCUUCGCUGGUGUUGGUGGUGGUAUUGGAGGUGGUAUUGGUGGUGGUCUCGGUGGUGGUAUUGGAGGUGGGCUGCCUGAUCUCGGUGGCACAGGCGGUGGGAUUGGUGGAUUAGGUGGUUUGGGAGGAGAUACAGGGAGCGGUGGAGGUCUUGGUGGUGCUAUUGGUGGUGGUGGGAUUGGCGGUGGUCAAGGUGGUUGUGCUGAUGGUGGUGCUGGCUCUAUCCUUAACCCUUGAUUCCAUUUCAUGGGAUUUUUUAUGUUUAGUGUUUCUGUUGCAUGCAGAUGCAGUUAGUACAUGUGUUUAGUUACUUUUCUGUUUUAUUCACUGUUGAUUUUUUUUUCCCUUUUCCUUUUUUUAGUAUUGUUCGCUGUUUUAUUGUUUUGGAAUUUUAUUAGUAAUAUUUGCCAUUUCUUUACUAAAAUAAUUAUCAAAUUACUUUCACAGUUUGUUCUUAAUUAAUUGUGGAUCAUAAAUAAUUUCAAUUUUACAACAAUGUCUUAACUAACAUAAUAAACAAUCUUAAUCUCGUAAGAGUGAAAAUAUAAAUUUAAUAUAGAGCAGCAGAAUUCUAAUAAAGACAAAACUCUUAUGCGCUAUGCUCAAAAGAGAGUUUAUUCACGCAAAAAAUGGUGAAACAACGGCUCCUAUAUAGUUUUACAACUAAAAUGAUUUAAUUUGAUAGUCAAUUCUGAUUAAAGGAUACGGGAUCUUUGCCAUUCCAUAUCACUCUUCAGAGGUAAAUGAUAUGGUUCUUGAAUUGUCUAAUUUUAGCAAGUUCAUUGGAACUACUAGUUAAUUAACAGUCAAUUCUGAUUAGAGAAUUUUAGAGACGUAUUAAUAUUAAGAUAUGUUUUCAAACGGUUUAAUUAAUGGAAAUAUAUUGUAUAUGUUUUCAAGUAAUUUUUACUCCAAAGAUUAAAGGAUCCAAAAUUUUAAAAUCAUAACUUUUAGAAAUAUUUAUUUAAAUAUUACUCAUAACCGGAUGUGAAUUGUUCUAUAUAUAUUAUUAAUUUGUUGUUGAGCUAAAAUGCCCAAUAUUUUAUUAGUUGCAAGAAGGACCGGCAACCCUCUAAUACUUCAAGAAUAAAAAUUUCAAAUACAUCAAAAAUGAAAAUAGUGAAAUAAAAAACAUAAUGAUGUGAUUUUAAAAUAAUAUCUAUUGAUAUAAAAAUAAUUGUUUUAACAUUAGAAUGCAUAUAUUAUUAUUGAUAUAUUUCUGAUAAAUGUAAUUUGAAUUUAAUGGAUGAUACGAUCAUUUUUAUAUUAUAGUAAACCGAGGAGAAGAUCCAUCUCCUACCUUUCCUUUCCUUCCAAUAAUAUACAUAUCAGAAAUGAAUCAGAUUCGUACAUUAAUUAUUAAUACAUUGGCUUGGCUUCCAACUACUUGUCAUUGUUCAAUGCCUGUGAAAUUUAAAACUUCUCUGCUGCUUUCAGACUUUCAGUUGGCAUGUCUUCAUCAUUUUCUUUUUUUUUUUUUCAAAAAAAAAAAUUUUAUUAUUAAAUUUUUUUAUAUAUUAAUUAAAAGUUCUUUGAGCAAGAGCCUAAGAUCGAGGUGUCUCUCAAAAUUUGAAAAUUUUCUAAAAUAUAGUACUAAAAAUAACAAAUAACAGGCUUAGCUUAAUGAAAUGUGAUACCUAUAAUAUAUAAAAUAAAAAAAAAACCAAAUAACAUUUUUUUGGGAAAAAAAAAAGGAAAUUCGAAGGAUACAUAUUAAGGGUUAAAUAAAAAGAUUGGUAAUAAUAAAGUAAUUAGGUUAAUAGACUUUCUUGCUGUAGCUUAUUAUGAAAAAAAAUAAUUGAUAUAAUUGAAUUUUUAAUUUUUUUUUUAAUUCAUUGGAGGUUUUUAUAGGCCGAAAUAAUAUUGCAGGUUACAAAAAGGGGUAGCCCUUUCCUUGACUCACCAAAUUGGUGAAAACAACUAUAGUCGAGAGAAUUCGAACUCGAAAUCAAUCAAAUCACCACCUGAUCGGCACAAUUGAACUUUUAAUUGAAAUAUAUAAUUAACUUGAUUUGAUAUUAUAUGAAGUGUUAUUGCAUGAUAUUAUUAAUUUUUAGAAUCUUAAUUAUUGAAUAUUUAAAUUUGUAGUAUGAGAAAUUAUCAUAUUCACAUAUAUAUUUUAUCUUCCAUUUCUUUGUCUGUGUUACUUGUCGCAGCAGGAAGCACCAAUGCAUGGCUCACAAUCUGCCACUAAUUUUCCCUCUGCUAAAUUAUAAAUGCCAUUAAUUCUGGCUGUUGAUCUCCCCGUAACAUGUACUAAAGAAAAAAAAAAAAAAAAAACUCACUUUACAAGAAAAAAAGGAUUAAUCAUGGAUAUACCAUUUACUUGUAUUUAACUCCAUUUACUGCUUUCAACCAUUCCAUACUGCUUCAUUUGCCGCUCCUUUUGCCUUUAAAAAGGGCUUCACAAAAACACUUUGAGAUAUCCCUAGAGAAACAGAGGAGAGAGACAGAGAAAGAUGGCUAGGUGGUGUCUUAGUGUUAUGGUUGUGCUUGCUUUAGUAGCUGUGCAAACUAGUGCUAGAAACGUUCCUAAAGUUGAAAAUAUGGCUACUACCAAAACUAAUGUGCCUAGUAAUAAUGCUGGUCUAAAUGACCAAAAGAACUUCCUCACCUACGGUGGUGUUGGUGGCUACAGUGGUCUUGGUGGUAAUGGUCUUCCAUUCGGCGGGGUUGGAGGACUUGGUGGAGUCACUGGCCUAGGUGGCACUGCCGGCAUUGGUGGGUUUGGUGGAGUUGGUGGUGGAAGUGGUCUUGGUGGCCUUGGUGGCUUGGGUGGUGGUGUUGGUGGUUUGGGUGGCGUUGGCGGUGGCGGUGGCGUUGGCGGCGGUGUUGGCGGUGGCGUUGGCGGAGGCGUUGGCAGUGGAACUGGCGUUCUUCCUUAUCCAUGAAAAUAUUGAUCUCAUUUCUGGUUUAUAGCCAGGGUUUAUGAAGAACUCUAUUUUUAUGCAUGGUUAUUAAGUUGGUUGUGUUUGAGGGUUUAUGUAAUGGUUUAAUUUUAAUUACUUUAUGUUUUGCUUGUUUAUUAGGGUUAGUUGGGUGUGUCUCUUUACUUUGAGUUCGAGAUUUUCAUUGUCAUGUUUAUGUUUGAGUGGAUCAUAGUUACAGAAACUUGAGUUUAAUUAAUGAGUUCAUGUUUAUUAUAUUGUGUUCGUGUUUAAUUUUUUUUGGUUCAGCUAAUUUUCAUUUUAAGAUACAUUUUGAUAUGAUUAAAAACAAC